This 74-nucleotide transfer RNA is filed under the name Gymnochlora stellata. Its description in RNAcentral is "tRNA-Met". It matches the Rfam family "tRNA". From Rfam's summary of the family: Transfer RNA (tRNA) molecules are approximately 80 nucleotides in length. Their secondary structure includes four short double-helical elements and three loops (D, anti-codon, and T loops). RNAcentral also lists the same sequence under 4 other names. Lineage: Eukaryota; Cercozoa; Chlorarachniophyceae. The record is from RNAcentral.
GCCUACUUAACUCAAUUGGUUAGAGUGUCCGUCUCAUACGCGGAAUGUUGCUAGUUCAAGUCUAGUAGUAGGUA